Molecule: ribosomal RNA, 1344 nt
Filed under: uncultured bacterium
Lineage: Bacteria
Description: 16S ribosomal RNA
Rfam family: Bacterial small subunit ribosomal RNA
Source: RNAcentral
GACGAACGCUGGCGGCGUGCUUAACACAUGCAAGUCGAACGGAAAGGCCCUGCUUUUGUGGGGUGCUCGAGUGGCGAACGGGUGAGUAACACGUGAGUAACCUGCCCUUGACUUUGGGAUAACUUCAGGAAACUGGGGCUAAUACCGGAUAGGAGCUCCUGCUGCAUGGUGGGGGUUGGAAAGUUUCGGCGGUUGGGGAUGGACUCGCGGCUUAUCAGCUUGUUGGUGGGGUAGUGGCUUACCAAGGCUUUGACGGGUAGCCGGCCUGAGAGGGUGACCGGCCACAUUGGGACUGAGAUACGGCCCAGACUCCUACGGGAGGCAGCAGUGGGGAAUAUUGCACAAUGGGCGGAAGCCUGAUGCAGCAACGCCGCGUGCGGGAUGACGGCCUUCGGGUUGUAAACCGCUUUCGCCUGUGACGAAGCGUGAGUGACGGUAAUGGGUAAAGAAGCACCGGCUAACUACGUGCCAGCGGCCGCGGUGAUACGUAGGGUGCGAGCGUUGUCCGGAUUUAUUGGGCGUAAAGGGCUCGUAGGUGGUUGAUCGCGUCGGAAGUGUAAUCUUGGGGCUUAACCCUGAGCGUGCUUUCGAUACGGGUUGACUUGAGGAAGGUAGGGGAGAAUGGAAUUCCUGGUGGGAGCGGUGGAAUGCGCAGAUAUCAGGAGGAACACCAGUGGCGAAGGCGGUUCUCUGGGCCUUUCCUGACGCUGAGGAGCGAAAGCGUGGGGAGCGAACAGGCUUAGAUACCCUGGUAGUCCACGCUGUAAACGGUGGGUACUAGGUGUGGGGUCCAUUCCACGGGUUCCGUGCCGUAGCUAACGCUUUAAGUACCCCGCCUGGGGAGUACGGCCGCAAGGCUAAAACUCAAAGGAAUUGACGGGGCCCCGCACAAGCGGCGGAGCAUGCGGAUUAAUUCGAUGCAACGCGUAGAACCUUACCUGGGUUUGACAUGGAUCGGGAGUGCUCAGAGAUGGGUGUGCCUCCUUUGGGGUCGGUUCACAGGUGGUGCAUGGCUGUCGUCAGCUCGUGUCGUGAGAUGUUGGGUUAAGUCCCGCAACGAGCGCAACCCUUGUUCACUGUUGCCAGCACGUUAUGGUGGGGACUCAGUGGAGACCGCCGGGGUCAACUCGGAGGAAGGUGGGGAUGACGUCAAGUCAUCAUGCCCCUUAUGUCCAGGGCUUCACGCAUGCUACAAUGGCUGGUACAGAGAGUGGCGAGCCUGUGAGGGUGAGCGAAUCUCGGAAAGCCGGUCUCAGUUCGGAUUGGGGUCUGCAACUCGACCUCAUGAAGUCGGAGUCGCUAGUAAUCGCAGAUCAGCAACGCUGCGGUGAAUACGUUCCCGGG